CAGCCGCCACGGGAAUACGAAGGGUGCAAGCGUUAAUCGGAAUUACUGGGCGUAAAGCGUGCGUAGGCGGUGAGUUAAGUCAGAUGUGAAAUCCCCGAGCUUAACUUGGGAACUGCAUUUGAAACUGGCAAGCUAGAGUCUUGUAGAGGGGGGUAGAAUUCCAGGUGUAGCGGUGAAAUGCGUAGAGAUCUGGAGGAAUACCGGUGGCGAAGGCGGCCCCCUGGACAAAGACUGACGCUCAGGUGCGAAAGCGUGGGGAGCAAACAGGAUUAGAUACCCGCGUAGUCCCUGUCUCUUAUAC
Molecule: ribosomal RNA, 301 nt
Filed under: uncultured bacterium
Lineage: Bacteria
Description: partial 16S ribosomal RNA
Rfam family: Bacterial small subunit ribosomal RNA
Source: RNAcentral